AGGUCCCAAACAUCAGGCUGUUCACAAAAAUAACCCAUAGGAUCAACUUUCGAAAACACAUCCUAAGACUGUAACACUGAUUAUUUUUCUAGAGGAUGCAUUGGACAUGCCAACCCUCAUUCACAAAGAUACAUUGUUGGGGGGAGGACUCAAGAUGGCGCUGUGAGAACAACCCAGGAUUGGAGCUCUCCUCGAAUCCGCAGAGAGGUAUGAAGAAAGCCAACCCUGGCUGGGUGCAGAGACUCACACCUGUAACCACAUUUUAGGAAGACGUGGCAGGAGGAUUUCUCGAGUCCAGGAGUUUGAGAUCAGCCUGGGCAACAUAAAGAGACACCUAUCUCUACAAAAAAAAAAAAAAUUAAUUAGCCGAGUGUAGUGGCACACACCUGUAAUCCCAGCUACUCCAAAGCCUGAAGCAGAAAAAUCAGGUGAGCCCAGGAAUUUGAGGCUGCUGUGAGCUAAAUCACACCACUGAACUCCAGCUUGGGCAACAGAGCAAGACCCUUUUCUUUAAAAAAAAAAAAAAAAAAAGCCAACCUCUACCAAGAUUAUUUUUAUUUCUCAAGGCUUCUAAGGUUUUACUUCCAGUAUUUUUACGUUACUUUUUUUCAUCUAGAUCUUUAAUCCAGAAGUAAUUAAUAUUUGCAUAUGGUAAAGCCAUACAUCUAGCUUUAUUUUCUUCCAGAAGUCUAGCAUGUGGAUUUGUUACAUAACUCAUGCUCUUGGUCAUGUAGUUUGUAUUUAAUAGUCAGAUGGUCAAUGUCUGUGUAAUCAAACUGUCUUUUUUUAAUGAAUUGUGCUUUGCUCUUAUGCUUAGACAGCUCUGUCCCACUGUUGGUCAGGUGAGCAUUCAAUUGCAUUUUCACCCAGGUAUUUAGUGCCAACGUUCCUUCCACAAUUAAAGAUGGGGAAGCUGAAGCCAGAAGUUGAAGAUCAGCCUGGGUAACAUAGCAAGAUCUCAUCUCU
Molecule: long non-coding RNA, 966 nt
Organism: Callithrix jacchus (white-tufted-ear marmoset)
Lineage: Eukaryota; Metazoa; Chordata; Mammalia; Primates; Cebidae
Source: Ensembl